UCUAGAAAGCAGGCAAACUGCGGCUUUAGCCGCCGGGUCAGCCCCCCGGUGGCACUCACGGUCCACAAGGCCAGGCCACGCUGCCCCCCUGGGCUCCUGAGCUGGCAGACACAGCGAUGGAGUCCUGUCUUGGUCACUUGGCACUUAGGGCGUGGGUAGGCCCGAGCCCCAGCUUCCUCGUGGGCAAGGUGGGGGACAGGAGGGCACCUGCCUCCUGGGGGCGCGGUGACAGUGGCCUGCCUGUCCUCCCCACCCCCAGCCUCCCGGGAGCUGGCCUCUCAGCACCCACAGACACCCGAAAACAGGUUCAGACACCCAGGGCCCCCUGACCCCUCAGGGGCAAACACACUCAGAGGUCAGAGGUCAGAGGUCAGAGGUCUGGGACACCCCAAGCUCUGUCAUGUCACUGGACGUGGUGACCGUUAGACCUGAGGGCGCCGGCCAGCUGACAGGGCAGAAACGGCUGCGCCCGGGGGGUACGGCCUCUCCAGGCUCCUCAUGGGCCCCCGUCCCACGAGUGACCGGAUGUCUCAGGGUGUGGGGGGCAAUGCGGGAUUGGGGUGGGGGGGCUACUGUGUGGCUUUUAUGUCCUGGUCGCCCCCAAACACCACACUGAGCACACGCUGGAGAACAGGCCACCCCAACAUGGCAAGGAGAGCCCCGGUCCCCCAGAAACUGUGGGACCCCUCCCCAGCAAGGGCCCCUCCUCCCCCUCCCCCUGCAGCCCCAGGCCUUGGUCAGCGUGCCUCUCACCCCGACUCAGAGAAGCCGGUUCCAAGGGGGACCCCCAGGUCCCCACCAGCGUUUUGAUCAGAGGCGCCAGAGGCCCCACUCUGGAGGAAGCUGGCGCCCUGGAGAGGCCCGCAGACCAGUGCUCGGGGACGGGGGCGGGGCUGCGGCUGCGGCUGGACCCGGCGCCGGCCGUUCUCCCCGGGGAUGUUGUCAACACCCGUGGCCGGAAGCCCACAGGAGUCGGCUCAGCGCAGGCCCAGGGCGCCGUGCUCUGGAGACACUGAGCAGACCCCACGGGCAGGCCCCAGCUCGGUCCAGGACACCCGGCCAGCUCUUAUCGACUCGGCAGGAAGUCCACCCCCCGGGGCCAUGGCCGCGACCCUGACCCCUCCCGGCAGAGCCACCCAAGACCCCAGACCUGGGCCCCACGGCGAGACACCCCCAGGCUCUGAGGGGCUGCCCUGGCCAGGGACACGUGAGGACAAGCACCUUCCGAGGGGGCGUCGGGGCGCAGGACUUUCACCCCGGGUGCUGUCUCCUCGCACUCUCUCCCUGUGACCCACGCUGACCCGCGGCCUGAAGCCCGGCCACACCACCGGGGGCCUGGGCAGGCGUCUGCAGUCCGUCCCGACUGGUCUCUGCUGCCCUGCCCCCCACUCCCCUCCCCGUUCCUCAUACCCGGCGGGAGGGACCUUCCUGCAGCUCCAGUCGGACUGCGCUGCUCGGGCCACAAGCAGCCCCUCACCCCUUCGCCCUUAGGAUCCCGUGUCCAAACUCCUUCCCACAGCCCCCGAGGCUCGGGAAGCCCCUCUGCCCACAGCGCCGGCCCUCCCCGCCGGCUCAGCGGGCUUGGCCAGGCAGGGCUCUGCGGGUCUCUCAACCCCUGGGCUCCACGCUCACGUGUCGGCUCCCCAAAGCAGCCUUCCCUCACGCCCCCCUCUAAGCGGCCCUCCCGGGAAGGUUUGCCACGUUUAGAAAAUAAAAUUCAAGACAGCCUGUUCAAUGUGAAUCUCAAAUAAAUUUUAAUUUCAAAUACUGCAA
This is a long non-coding RNA of Phyllostomus hastatus (greater spear-nosed bat), 1773 nucleotides long. RefSeq lists it as uncharacterized. The transcript is spliced from 2 exons. The record is from RefSeq and is a predicted model, not a curated record. Lineage: Eukaryota; Metazoa; Chordata; Mammalia; Chiroptera; Phyllostomidae.